AAGUUUGAAUGAGGACAUUUCUGUAGGAGAUCCUUAAACAUAUCCCAUGUCUCAAAAUGAAACUCAAAUUCUGUUUGUACAAAAGAAGAUAUCUCAUUCCUAAGCUU
This is a small nucleolar RNA of Dioscorea cayenensis subsp. rotundata (Guinea yam), 107 nucleotides long. NCBI's taxonomy places the organism in Eukaryota, Viridiplantae, Streptophyta, Magnoliopsida, Dioscoreales, Dioscoreaceae. The record is from RefSeq and is a predicted model, not a curated record.